Molecule: long non-coding RNA, 913 nt
Filed under: Monodelphis domestica (gray short-tailed opossum)
Lineage: Eukaryota; Metazoa; Chordata; Mammalia; Didelphimorphia; Didelphidae
Description: lncRNA (ENSMODG00000034322.2)
Source: RNAcentral
GUUAUGCCACGGGCAGAAAAAUACUAGGGAAAAUCACCGCAGGGCCUGGUACUCAGAACUUACAGACUGCUGACAACCCUAGAGUUUAGCAAAUCUUCUCGAAAAGCCCCGAGUUUUACAUUUGCUAACAAGCCACACCUGCCAGUAAUUCCAUCCUUCCGACUUCCCCUCCCACUGUGUUUACUGUUCAGAUGCGCAGAUAAAGUGCAAUGGUAGUCAGGCUCUUGCAGGUGGCUGGAAACUUUCUGGGCAGGUCGGGGCCACUGACUUGUUGGGAGGAGACAGCUUUGGAAAACGGUUCGAACUUGAGGAUAUUCUGCAGCUCCUCACCGAAGCUUUCUGCUUUUCAGUUUAUCAUAUUCCCAUCUCAUACUGAGGCAUUUUGGGCAAGAGUUUACUUCAUUGAAAGCACUGGGACAGACCCAGGAGCAAUGGUUGGAGACUACAGAAAGGCGAAUUGAAUAUUAAUGUCAAAGGAAAUAUCUUAACAAAUGCAGCUAUAAAAAUAGUAAAAUCACCUAUAUUUGGGCUCUUCCUCAAUGAAAAUCAUCCAUGAAAGACUAUGUGACUACUUGUCAGGUAUGCUAUAGUAAGGAUUAAUUUUGGAUAUUAGUUGGGUAAGACGACCACUGAGGACUGUUCCAAUUUUUAAAUUAUGUAAUUAUGGCCAUGUAUUAUUAUUGUUUUACUAGAUUAUUUACUAUAUUACAUGAGGAAAAAGUAUAUGCCAUAUUUAACUUUAUAAUCCACAAUACCAGCACAAUUCUGUUCAAAGUAGGCACUUAAAUAUUUGUUGAUUUGAACUGUUGCAUUUAGUUGAGACAUGACAAAUUGAUAUUUCUUACAAAGAGAACCUUCUAUAAGCAGUCAAAAUAUAAAUAAAUAUAGCAAUGCUUCUUUUUCUUUUUUUAUU